UAUAAUAUACAUAUUUAUAAUAUUAAUUAUUAUUAUGUAAUAUACAUAAUAAUACAGUUAUACAUAGGGCACACAUUCUUAGACAGAUAAUGCUAAUUAGUAAUCACCCCGCCUAGUCUUAGAGCCCAGUUGUGAAGUUAUAUUUUAAACUAUUUACAUUUGCAGUCACCAAAUGCCUAUGUUUAUACAUAAAGCUAUAACUUAAUGCUAGUACCCAAUAAACCUAUACCUAAUAAUCAGGACCAGCUUUAGAAGGGGCCCACGAAGGGGUCCACAAGAUUCAAUCAAUAAGAGGCCUCCACAACAUAAGUACUUUUUGGCCUUUUGCAGUAAGUUUUGUUGGUUUUAAAGUAUGUAGUCAACAAAAAAUCCUUAUAUGUGCCCUUGGGCCCUCACCACCCUAAAUCCGGGUAAAUAAAUAUACAGAGUGUCCCACAAGGAUUUACCCAUUGCGAUAUCUCCUAAGAUAAUAAAUAUAUCAUAAAUCUGUUUUUUUUUUAUUAGACUCACCAAGAACAAGGACUACAUAUAUUAAUAUUUAUUAAUAUUUUAAAAUUCAAUUCAAUUUUUUGAUAAAACUUAACUUAUAACGUACAACUUUUUAGCACUAUUUUGGCAAGUACAUUCAAUUACCAAACUAAAAAAAAAAACUUUUUGUUGUAAUUUUUUUUUAUAAUAAAGAGCAUUUUACUCAAUAAAAUCAAUCAGGAAUUGUCUAUAACUAACUUUUUAAUACUUUAUUAGAUAACAAUAAAAAUAAAUUACUUCUUUCACCCACUAUUUUGUCUAUAGUAUAAUCAUUUUACUUUAACGUUUUAAAUUUAUAUUUAUGAUGAUCAGGGCUUACAGUGACUUAUUAAAAACUUAGUCUAUGGUUAUAUCAUACAGUUUUACUCGUAAGGGUAGAUCAUUACUCCUUAUUCUAUCUCCGUUGAAAUAACAAUACGUUAAGUGCUAUAUCAAAAUUAAAAACCAAUUUGCCUUCCAUUUUUAGUAGGUACCUUAUAAUGGUACUCAACCCAUAAUAUACUUGAUUUUACUUAACUUUAAUCUUAUCUCAACUUAAGUCUUAAUUCAAAAAUGUGAUUGGCAAUUACCUAAUUAUAUCUUUAAUAUUAGUCUUAUAAGUCUUGUAUUUUUCUUAGUUAAUAUCUAUCUAUCUUUGUAAUUAACCAGUUUCGAGCAUGCAGAAUGACAGCAGCGACUGUUAAGAGGCCCUAUUCCCCCCACUUUGUGCCAUUUAGUGUGGAGUUGUGGAGUGCCGACCGUUAACAAUUGUGAUUGUGCAAAGUCGAUAUGUCAAAGGAAAAUGAGCAAUUUGAACGCAAUUUGGUUGGGAAACGUAGUCAAAAUAAUAAUUUUCUAAGAUAAAAUUUAGAAAUUUAAAAAUAUGAUAAGCAGUGGUAUUUUUUAACCAUAAUUAUAUGUACCUUUAAACAUAUUCAACAUACUGAGUAUGUAAGAUGUUAUUAUUAACCAGUUAGAUAAGAUUUAAUCUAUACCAAAAUAUUUGUAUGAUUAUUGGUUCUUUCAAGUCUAUAAAAUUAUAAUAUAUUGAAUAGUUAAUGUUAUAAGUCUACAAAUAUUUACCUGAAUUCAGUGAGAUAGUGAGAGAGUAAGUGGUAUUUAGAUUAUAUAAAUAUACGAGUAAACAUAGAUAUUAUAAAUUAUCACAUAGCUAACAUAGCUAAUGCAUUUCUAGGACUGACAAAAUUGUGUUGCGUAGACACCUGUUUUUGCGCUACUAAACUCAGGAGGGACAAGAGUAAUACUAAUUUCAUGCUGAUUUAUUUUAUUUUACUAAAAUAAAAACAUUUUGGAUACUUAUUUUCACAUUCCCAAUCAAAUUCAUCAAAAUAAAUUAUUAAAAUUAGAAUGAAUUAUAUAUUUUAAAUGCUUACGUUAACUUAAAAAUUGGUUGUUCUAUACAAACUAGAAGAUUGUCAGAAGAACUAUAGGAAAAUCUGUAACCUGUACUCUGUUUGGAAAAAAAAUGUAUAAAAUGUUAUAAA
Long non-coding RNA from Myzus persicae (green peach aphid), 2012 nucleotides. RefSeq lists it as uncharacterized. The transcript is spliced from 2 exons. Lineage: Eukaryota; Metazoa; Arthropoda; Insecta; Hemiptera; Aphididae. The record is from RefSeq and is a predicted model, not a curated record.